CCCUUAGAUGUUCUGGGCCGCACGCGCGCUACACUGAUGCGUUCAACAAGUUUCCUUGGCCGAGAGGCCUGGGCAAUCUUCUUAAUAUGUAUCGUGAUAGGGAUAGAUUAUUGCAAUUAUUAAUCUUGAACGAGGAAUUCCUAGUAAGCGCAGAUCAUCAAUCUGCAUUGAUUACGUCCCUGCCCUUUGUACACACCGCCCGUCGCACCUACCGAUUGGAUGUUCCGGUGAAGCCUCGGGAUGAGGACUGGUGCCUUUAUUGGCAUGAGUUGUUCAGAACUUGUCUAAACCUUAUCAUCUAGAGGAAGGUGAAGUCGUAACA
This 322-nucleotide ribosomal RNA is filed under the name uncultured eukaryote. RNAcentral describes it as "partial 18S ribosomal RNA". It matches the Rfam family "Eukaryotic small subunit ribosomal RNA", at positions 1470 to 1796 of the family's 1831-position model. The record is from RNAcentral.